RNAcentral lists this ribosomal RNA (465 nucleotides) under Vreelandella stevensii. RNAcentral's name for it is "partial 16S ribosomal RNA". It matches the Rfam family "Bacterial small subunit ribosomal RNA", at positions 338 to 795 of the family's 1533-position model. Lineage: Bacteria; Pseudomonadati; Pseudomonadota; Gammaproteobacteria; Oceanospirillales; Halomonadaceae. The record is from RNAcentral.
CCUACGGGUGGCAGCAGUGGGGAAUAUUGGACAAUGGGGGCAACCCUGAUCCAGCCAUGCCGCGUGUGUGAAGAAGGCCCUCGGGUUGUAAAGCACUUUCAGUGAGGAAGAACGCCUGGUGGUUAAUACCCAUCAGGAAAGACAUCACUCACAGAAGAAGCACCGGCUAACUCCGUGCCAGCAGCCGCGGUAAUACGGAGGGUGCGAGCGUUAAUCGGAAUUACUGGGCGUAAAGCGCGCGUAGGUGGCUUGAUAAGCCGGUUGUGAAAGCCCCGGGCUCAACCUGGGAACGGCAUCCGGAACUGUCAAGCUAGAGUGCAGGAGAGGAAGGUAGAAUUCCCGGUGUAGCGGUGAAAUGCGUAGAGAUCGGGAGGAAUACCAGUGGCGAAGGCGGCCUUCUGGACUGACACUGACACUGAGGUGCGAAAGUGUGGGUAGCAAACAGGAUUAGAUACCCUGGUAGUC